GGGCCAGUGGUGCAGUGGAUAACUUGCCUGACUAUGGAUCAGGAGAUUGCAGGUUUGACUCCUGCCUGGCUUG
Transfer RNA from Nestor notabilis (Kea), 73 nucleotides. It matches the Rfam family "tRNA". From Rfam's summary of the family: Transfer RNA (tRNA) molecules are approximately 80 nucleotides in length. Their secondary structure includes four short double-helical elements and three loops (D, anti-codon, and T loops). Further hydrogen bonds mediate the characteristic L-shaped molecular structure. tRNAs have two regions of fundamental functional importance: the anti-codon, which is responsible for specific mRNA codon recognition, and the 3' end, to which the tRNAs corresponding amino acid is attached (by aminoacyl-tRNA synthetases). tRNAs cope with the degeneracy of the genetic code in two manners: having more than one tRNA (with a specific anti-codon) for a particular amino acid; and 'wobble' base-pairing, i.e. permitting non-standard base-pairing at the 3rd anti-codon position. Lineage: Eukaryota; Metazoa; Chordata; Aves; Psittaciformes; Psittacidae. The record is from Rfam.